RNAcentral lists this ribosomal RNA (523 nucleotides) under uncultured bacterium. RNAcentral's name for it is "bacterial SSU rRNA". It matches the Rfam family "Bacterial small subunit ribosomal RNA", at positions 8 to 524 of the family's 1533-position model. The record is from RNAcentral.
AGAGUUUGAUCAUGGCUCAGAUUGAACGCUGGCGGCAUGCCUUACACAUGCAAGUCGAACGGCAGCAUAGGAGCUUGCUCCUGAUGGCGAGUGGCGAACGGGUGAGUAAUAUAUCGGAACGUGCCCUAGAGUGGGGGAUAACUAGUCGAAAGACUAGCUAAUACCGCAUACGAUCUACGGAUGAAAGUGGGGGAUCGCAAGACCUCAUGCUCCUGGAGCGGCCGAUAUCUGAUUAGCUAGUUGGUGGGGUAAAAGCCUACCAAGGCAACGAUCAGUAGCUGGUCUGAGAGGACAACCAGCCACACUGGGACUGAGACACGGCCCAGACUCCUACGGGAGGCAGCAGUGGGGAAUUUUGGACAAUGGGGGCAACCCUGAUCCAGCAAUGCCGCGUGAGUGAAGAAGGCCUUCGGGUUGUAAAGCUCUUUUGUCAGGGAAGAAACGGUGGUAGCGAAUAACUACUACUAAUGACGGUACCUGAAGAAUAAGCACCGGCUAACUACGUGCCAGCAGCCGCGGUAAU